CAUGGACUGGGGUGCAAAGGAGUGUUCUCUUGGGUAGACUUGCCCUACCAAAGUCUGGGGGGCAGAGGCAACCAUGCCCUUCCCUAGGUCUAUUCUUUACAGUCCCCAUAGAUGGCUUCGUGGAGUAGACAUUUCCAAGCUCCCAGUCCUUGUCCUACUUGGGUAAUGGGAAUGGGAGCUAGGAGCCCAGGCGGCUGGAGUUAUGACUUUGCUAAACUACUUUGUGUGUGUGUGUGUGUGUGUGUGUGUGUGUGUGUGUGUGUGUGUGUGUGUCUGUGUGUCUGUGUGUGUGUGUCUGUGUGUGUGUCUGUGUGUGUUUGGGGGAAGCCACUUGAGAAAUCUCACACAGGAGUGGGCUUCUGCCCCCAAACUCAAUGCUCUAUCACUUUCCAGGGCAAUGAGGCAUUUUCUGAGCAUCUGCUGUGUCCUAGCCACGAUGCCAAAAGCCUGCGAAGGGUAACAGCUAGCGCUCUUGCCCUUGAGAAGUCUACAGAUCAGAAGGGCUCCACUCCGGAGCUAUGGUCUGCCUUGCCCUUUCUUCUUCUGUCGGAUAGGAGACUUGCGAACACUGGACUUAAGAUAGAGGGAACGGUUCUAGAUUUUUCAGGGACCAAGAGAGUCAGAGGGUGGGAGAGCUCUCUCUUACAAUCAGUUAAAGGAACGGCCUGGGUCUUUCACCUAAACCUGUGAGUUGGGGUCAGGACAGAGGUGUGACUGAAAGAAAGCAGGCUAGGGGUAGGGUCUGCAUGUACUUCUAUGGGAUGUGAUAGGGAAUAUAUACAAUCUUUGGGGCUUAAGACAGGAUUUUUAUUUCCUGAUAAGGACAGCCAGAUCAGAGGAUCUGACCAAUCCUUACAGAGCUAAAGGCAUUCCCGGAGACCCCAUAGAGUUAUAUCAUCCAAUGGAGUCUCUCUGUAUCAAAGGCCCAAAUGCAAUGCUGAACAGUGAUCUGGCCAGAAGCUCUGAGUGCCCAUUCUCGGGCUGAGAUCAGCUUUUUGAGAGACUAUAUUCUAGAAGGUACCGGUGGACGGCAAUUUAUUUUGAAAUCUGGCCAAGUGCCAAACUCCGAUUUUGAGUUGCCUUUGCACCACAAGCCUGCUGUGUUUAUGACUUGGUCUAGAUGAAGAGGUUCCCCCCACCCCCUUUCAAGAAAAAAAAAAGGGUAUCACAUCCUUCUGUUAGAUGUGUUGUUAGCAACGGUUGCUAGGGAGAGUUGGGUUCAGUUACAGGCACACUGAUGCCUGCUCUAAUAAUACUUCUCUCUGCAUAGCUCAGAUGCAGACACCUCUUGGCUAAACAGGGCACACACAUUUCAACAGACGAGGGCUUGAACUUGUACUACCCAAGCAGCUCUGGGCAAAAGAGCUCUCUCUAAGCUCAAGGGAAAAAAAAAAUCCCCAAACCAAGCCUGAGACCAGUCCUGCCCUUGACUCCCCCCGUGCCUGGCGAUGCAUGGCAGACGGGGCCUCUCCUGCCUGUUUGUCACCCUCUCCACUCUCCCAGGACAUUCCGGCCUGCGAGGAACAUGCCGAUGUGCAAAUCCCUCAGGGACAGCACUGCAAACCACGAAGCAGGUGGCCAGGUGCCCUGAGUACAUCUGUCAUCCAAGUUAAUUACGAGGGGACUCUCAGAGGCGGCACUGGUAGGACAAUUGGGCAUAUGGUCACCCUGUUCACCAUGACCGCUGGCGGUCCCUUUAGCUCUGUCCCCUGCUUCCCAAGGAAUUGCUUUACCAGCUAGACCCGAUGACACAAUUUGUAUCCAAACUGGGCUCUGUUGUGUAAAGUAACAGGAAAGACAUUUCUCCCACCCAGAGUCUCCAAAAGUGGCCUUCGGGCCUGAUAUGGUCACCAUGUCAUUCUCCACUGUCAUAUCUUCCCCGAUGCCACCAGAUCUGGGGUCAGCAGCCAACUGUUAGCAUACACAACAGGUACUGAUAUAACGGUACUGAUAUAACCCACACUUACUACACAUUCACCUGUGGGGCUGUGGUUAGAUACGGGCACACACUCAUUACACACUCGCCUAUGGGACUAAGGUUAGACACUGGUCUGGGGCAGACAGCAGUAAGAGGAUUAGGGGAAGCUCUCUGGAGGGAAAGGGAGAUUGGGUGGGAAGGUACCAGGCAGCAAGAAAAUCUUGGAUCGCCACACUUUCUUAAUACUUUGGAAUUCAGUGCAUCAACAGACAGACUGUCCUCAUUCUGUCCCACAAGGCUUUGCCUUCCCUGCUCUCCCAAGAGUAUAACCAUCAAGCUUUGGAGGGUUGUCCUUAGGGAGGAGGAGGAGAAAAAGGAGAAGGGAGAAGUUGGGAGGCCAGGGAGAAGGAGGAGGAAGAGACAGGUCCAGGAGCAAGUUCAUGACCGCACAGACACGCAGAGGUCAAAGCCCAGGGCCAAUUGCCAGCCUCUUAUCAUGAAAAUAGAAAGAGAGAGAGGGCGGUUGAACAAAAAGCACCUAUAAAAUUAUAUUGGUCCUUCGUAACCAUGGAGCACUCACAUAAACACACCCAAAUCCAGCCGCUCAUCUCUCACCCCUCGAUGCCUGCUUAUUUUCUAUAAUUAAUCAGGCAGGGGAGGAAGGGACUUGGGAGAAGUUCAACCACCACCAGAACUCACAGCCCUCUCUCUAGCAAUAACCCUGGUCAGAGGGGCAGGGGAGCGGAGCGGCAGCUGUCGGUGUCCGGUUACCUGGAG
This is a non-coding RNA of Rattus norvegicus (Norway rat), 2695 nucleotides long. The record is from RefSeq and is a predicted model, not a curated record. Lineage: Eukaryota; Metazoa; Chordata; Mammalia; Rodentia; Muridae.